AGCUUUGUUAGUGUGAUUCCACUGCAAAAAUUACAAGAACAUAAAAUUUGUCAGUGAGAUCAUUCCAAAUUAACAUAUGAACAAUGGUGGGUGAAUUCAUAAAAGAACCAUGCUUGCAGCAGACACAAUAAAAUGGGUCUUGGGAUGUCAGCUUAAAAGCUUAAACAAGCAUCUUUGGUCUUUAGGCAGAAGACAAACGGUUUUUUUUUUUUGGUUGAAUUUUUCUUCUUCCUUUAAUUAUAGUUUGUAGUUCUUUUUUGAUGUAAAAGACAUUACUCCAUAGAUAGCCAAAUACACUGCAUUUUACAUCAAGCAAUUGGAAAGCGGAACCAUGCUACCAAGAUAUAUAUCAUAUAGAAGUAUUCCAGCCUAUUUGUGUGUGUCAACCAAAUAUGAGGUCUGAGAAAUCUAGAUCCUGUCUCUUUGUGUUAGGGAUAUGGUGUAUUCUUGAUGAAGCAAAGAAGUUCUGGAAGGAUUGCAAUUGG
This 485-nucleotide unclassified non-coding RNA is filed under the name Hevea brasiliensis (rubber tree). Lineage: Eukaryota; Viridiplantae; Streptophyta; Magnoliopsida; Malpighiales; Euphorbiaceae. The record is from RNAcentral.